RNAcentral lists this long non-coding RNA (20316 nucleotides) under Eucalyptus grandis. RNAcentral's name for it is "long non-coding RNA (EGRA_LNC002739)". The record is from RNAcentral. Lineage: Eukaryota; Viridiplantae; Streptophyta; Magnoliopsida; Myrtales; Myrtaceae.
CGUCGAGGGCGGAGGGGCCGCGGGAACGCAGGAGGCGCUUGUGGUUGUACUCGGUGUUGACGAAGGUGAUGUGGAAGCCCCUGUGGUGGAGAAGCUUGGCGAGGCAGAGCAUGGGCUUGAUGUGGCCCUGGGCUGGGAAGGGGAUGCAGACUGCAUGCGGCUUUUGAGUCAUCUCGUUCGAACUCAUCUCUCUCUCUCUCUCUCUCUCUCUCUCUCUCUCUCUCUCUCUCCUGUAGGUUUGGUCUACUUAUAGGCCGGCGACACGAUGAAAUUCCGGCCAAGUGGAGGACGAGUGGGGAGUAACGUGAUGGGCAUUAAAAUAUUUAAAUAAUAAUUCAUGUUUUGAUCUUAACGAUUUAAAUUUUAAAAUAGGCCGGCGACACAAUGAAAUCCAGCGAAGUGGACUAGGUGAGGGUAACGCGGUGGGCAUUAAAAUAUUUAAAUAAUAAAUCACGUUCUCAUCUUAACGAUUUCAAUUUUUAAAUUAGUUAGUAAUAAUAUUGCAAGAUCUCACAAUUAGAAGGAAGAGUGACGGAUCCAUAUUUAUCGGAAGAUCUUGAAAUUCAAAAUUGGGUUCAUACUUGAUUCUUGGCGCGUGUUGGUUGGUUCCACUAUUAAAGGACAAAAAAUAAUUUCCUUAUUCUUAGUGGUUCGACUAAUCUAUAAAAAUGAGUCGACAAAGGACUUUUACAAUUAGUAGAAAAUCUGUAGUUAAACCCGGAAAAAUUACACAAAUUUUUUUUAUGGAUACAACUCAAUCUCUACUAUUAAGUCUAAAUGUGCAACAGCCGGACUCGGGGUCCCCAAUGACCAGAUCUUGGAAGUUGGUAGCUGGAUUUAGAUUCCCAAUGCUUGGACCUUGGCCCCUUGGAAGCUAGACCCGAGACGCAGGGUUCUAUUCGAAUUUUUUUUUUCGUAUUCCCGUUUCAUAGUUUUCCUAUAAUGUUAAUGGUGAGAAAAGGCCAACCAACCACAAGUAAAUUAAAUCAUUUUCCUAGAAAUUAACGUCGUUAAAAAAUGCCAUCCAACAAAAUUCGUUUUUCUUAAAACUGACCAGGCUGGAAUUUGGCAUGAAGAAAAAUGAAUUUAGAGUAAGGAUAUGUGUGACAAAAGCCAAAUGAUAUAUAAAUAAAUGAAAUAAGUUUGAGAACCAAUCACAUUUGUUUUUUUUUUUUUUAACAGAAACCCUCAUCGCAUUAAGAUGAAAAGCACAUACAACCCGCGGCUAGAGCGUCCGCGCAUAGCAAGAUCAAGAGAGCAGGGGGGGAUUGAGGGCCCAAUUACAAGACAAAGAGGUAUGAUUAUGGGCCUUGCAAGCCCAGUCAGCGACGGAAUUCGCUUCUCUUCGGCAGAACCCUAGCGUGAGAUUGGGAAAUAGGGUUAGGAGGAAAGCAGCUUCAGCAAAUAGAGAGCGAUCCGACCAUGGCGGCUGUGAGUGACUGUUCAAGGUUUCGACCAGAGAGAGGUUGUCAGAUUCAACCACGAUUGUUGCAGUUUGAAGGCCUUGAUGCAGAAGAUGGCGAAGCGAUAAUGAUAAAGCUUGGAUCUCAACCUGAAGAGUAGAGGCGGCCACUACUCCUAAGGAAAACCCAUCGGUAAGCUGGCCUUGAUGGUCCCGACAAAUAUAAGCUAUCGUUCCUUUAUUACUGCCUUGAUGAUAAGAGCCAUCGACGUUAACUUUCAAAACCCCGAGAUCUGGAGGACGCCAUAGAUGGGAUCUGUUUGUGACCAAUCUGUUCUGAUGCAGGUUCGAGGGUGAAGAUAAUCGAUCUGCUUGGGCACCAGUCAGUGCUGUUUCUACCACCUGAUAUGGAUUAGGAUUGGUACCUCGGAAGAAGAAAGCAUUCCGAGCCCGCUAGAUCUGCCACAGAGUAUGAGAGAUUAAGGCCAGCCGAGGUAAUCGAUUCCCUGUCUCGAUCGUAGAGGUGAUCCAUGAAUCCAUACGAUGGAUGUUGAUGGGAUCGAUUGAAACCCGAAUGUGGGGAUGAGUCCAGACCUUUUGAGUCCACGAGCAAAGUAAGAGUAAGUGCUCUAAAGUUUCUGGAGUCUUUUUUUUACAUAAGGUACAGCAAGGACUGUCUAAUAUGUGUCUUCGAUACAGGUUCUCUCUCGUCGCCAAGGCAUUAUUGCAGAUGGACCAGAGGAAGGCACGGAUUUUGGGAGCAGCAGGCAUUUUCCAGAUAGAACGCCAUAACCAGGUAGGAAUUUGGUGUGAAGAUGAUGCACUUAAGGUUGAGAUAUCUGAUUGUGAGUGAGUAAGUGCAUGAUAUGCCGACUUGACUGUAAAUGUGCCUUGCUUGGUUGCUGUCCAGAUAAGUGCAUCUGUGGUGAAAUUUGGUCUAAGUUGGAUGUUUGUGAUCUGUUGAAUGAUUGGCAUAUCGAAAAACCUGGAUAAUAAGUCAACUCUCCAUGAACUGGUAGUGGGGUCAAUAAGAUCAGCUACUAGUGUAGGUUCUUCAAGGGCUUUAGGUCCAGCUAGAAUACCCAUAGGAAGCCAUAUGUCUUCUCUUAUCUUGAUGCUUUUUCCAUCUCCCACAGACCAACUAACGUGUGGAACAAUUGAGUUUCUUCUGCAAAGUAGGCUCUACCAGCCCCAUGAUGGGCGAGAGCCUUUGUUAGCUUGUAAAAAUGUAGAAGAAUGGAAAUAAAGGCCCUUAAAAAGCUUACUCCACAAAGAUAAUGGCUGACUCAUUAGGCGCCAUGCUUGCUUACCAAGCAUGGCGUGAUUAAAACUCACUAAAUUCCUGAAUCCCAAUCCACCAUGUUCUUUUCGGUUCUGUAGAUGUUUCCAGCUCUGCCAAUGUACACCAGAUCUGCUUGUAUUGUUGCUCCACCAGAAUUUGGCCAUUCUUUUUUCAAUAACUUUACAUAAAGAGAUAGGGAUUUUAAACACUAGCAUUGCAUACUGAGGGAUAGAUUGAAUAACUGCCUUUAAUAGAACAUCUCUCCCUCCCUUCGAGAUUAGUUUUUCCUUCCAACCUUCUAGUUUCGAUUGAACUCUACUCAGCAGCCAAGAAAACAUAUCUUUUUUUGAUCUUCCCCAGUCAGUAGGUAUCCUGAGAUACUUCCCACAACGCUAUAAAACUGGUACCCGUAAUUCAGCAGCUAAAUUUUCCUGAAGUUCAAUAGGGCAAGAGGGACUAAAGAAAACUCCAGAUUUGUUAUGAUUGAUUUUGUGUCCUGAUGCCAAGCAAUAUUGGUUUAAAAUGUUAGACAGAUUCUGACACUCCAAUAAGGUACCAUUCAGAAAAAAUACAGCAUCGUCGGCGAAAAACAGAUGCGAUAGAGUAGGGCACCUUUGGUUCAGCUUGAUACCUUUGAUAGAGCCCAUAUGCAUAGCAUUCCUCAUUAGAAGGGAUAAGAGAUUUGCAAUGAUAAUAAACAAGUAGGGGGAUAAGGGAUCUCCCUGCCGCAACCCACGAGUUGGUUGGAAACUCGGUAAAAACUCCCCAUUCAUCUUAAUAGAGAAAGAUGGCGUUGAGACACACUGCAUGAUUAGAUGGACCCAAUGAGAAUGAAAUCCCAAGCGAAGUAAAUAGUCUCGGAGAAAGUCCCACUCAACACAGUCAUAAGCUUUCUGCAUGUCUACCUUGAGAAUGGCUUUAAAAUGACGUUUUCGUUUCCUUGUUUUGAGCUGAUGAAUGAUUUCCUGUACAACUAGAACAUUAUCCUGAAUUUGUCUACCAGCAACAAAGGCGCUCUGCUCCUUAGUGAUCAGAAUAGGCAGCAAGGGUUUCAAUCGAUUAGCAAGCACUUUAGCGAAAAUUUUAUAGCCAUAGUUGCAUAAGCUAAUAGGGCGAUACUGAUCCAAGCUUUCCGGGUUAGGAGUUUUGGGGAUUAGGGUGAUAGUAGUGCUGUUUAGAGAUGGGGGUAAUAUGCCAUGCUGAAAGAAUUGCUGUACUGCUCUGUGAAUGUCCACUUUAAUAAUUUCCCAAUGCGAUCGAUAGAACAAACCGUUCAAACCGUCGGUUCCUGGUGCCUUUGACGCACCUAGUUGGAAAGUAGCAACGCGAACUUCUUCGAGAGUGGGUUGAGCAAGGAGGGCUGCGUUCAUUUCUGCACCCACUAGCUGUGGACAUUGCUUUAAUAUCUGUGCAUAAGGUCUAGGCCCUGAAGUAGAGUAAAGCUGAGAGUAGUAGGUGAAAGUCGUUUGUUUGAUUUGUUCCUGAUCCCUAACCCAUUGCUGAUUUUCAUCUUUCAAGAUAGUAAUCUGAUUGCGUUGUCGUCUUUGAAGUGUGGUAGUAUGGAAGAAUUUAGUGUUGCGGUCUCCCCACUAUAGCCAGUUUAUUCUUGAUCGCAUUGCCCAAUAUUGUUCUUCCCUCUGCCAUGCUUGAUGAAGUUCUGUUUUAAUCCGCUGUUGCUGAGAUAGGUUUAGAGAAGUAGGUUGCUGGUUCGAUAAAUUUUUUAACUGUUGAUCUAAUUCCAUUGCCUGUUGCCUGGUAUGUGAGAAAACCUGGCGACUCCAGCGCGAUAAAGCUAUGGCAACUGCACGAAGCUUGACCGAGAGAGGAGAGUUCCUUCGCGAGACUGAGUUCCAGGAGGACUCGAUCACGGAUUGACAGCCAGGAUCGUGGUUCCAGAAAGCUUCAAAGGUAAAGAAUCUCUUUCGUCGAGCCAAGCAGGGAUUUGUAUGAAUAACCAGAGGGCUGUGAUCUGAACCAACUACAGGUAGGGCUAUCACUUGAGCUUUGGGGUAAGAGAUACGCCAUUCAGCAGUGCAGACAGCUCGAUCCAAACGCUCCUUCACCAAAGCUGCAGCAUCUCUGUUGUUGGACCAUGUAUAGGCGCAACCAUGAGAGGGCAGAUCCAUCAAACUGCAAUCAUUGAGAACUUCUCUGAAAGAGGAUAGGCGGUAAGAGUCCGCUGGUCUAGAGCCUAUUUUCUCCCAUCGGUGUAAAAUUUCAUUAAAGUCGUCGAAGCAUAUCCAAGGUAAGACAUUGAGGUUACUAAUAUGACGCAAGGUCUGCCAAAGAUACUGAUGGUCAUGAUAAACUGUAGGAGCAUGAAUACAAGAAAUCCGCAUGGAUCUUGCCUCUGAGAUAGCAAGACAGGUAAAAUCCAAAUAAUGCGGAGAGGAGGAGAAGUCUGACAGAGAGAGCCCUGCAUUCCAAAAAAGAGCUAAGCCACCGGCCGAACCAACAGGGGUGACUAGUCUGUGAUGCAAAAAACCAGAAGACCGCUUCAACCGGAGGAGGACUGCAUCCACGUUCUUCGUCUCCAUCAAAAAUAACAGGUCAGGCUUUUCCUUAGCCAAGAGGGCUUUUAAGGAUAGGACUGUCAAGGGAUUGCCCAAACCCUGACAGUUCCAACCUAUAAGUUUCAUCUCUGAUUUGGUGACUGUUUAGGGCCAGCCACCGUCGCCCGUAGAGCUGUUUCAGACGCCUCCAUAAUCGGUGCAUCCAACAAUAGAGAAUCAUCAUAGACCCCCGAAUACCCUCCUGGUAAGUCAUAGGGAUUAUAGCGCCGGGGUUUCUUUGAAGGACUUAUCUUACUUGCCGGUCGUAUACUGAGGCCUUUUUUUGCCUGGUUAGGUGAUGUUGGCCAUUGCACUCCUUUCAGCUUCUCUGUAGCUGGGAUUAAUGCUGUGGUUAAGGUGUGUGGCUCUGAGGGAGGGAUGGUAGAUAUAUCAUUUCUUGUCUGUGUAGAGAUGGGAGCAAUAAUCUGUGGCUGAGAGGUUGUUACAGGAAUUGGUGGUAGAAGAAGAGGAAGAGUGCGGAUCUCAGUUGGAGGAGUUUCGGGUACGGUUUCUUCUCUGUCCUCCUCCAAAUUAGAUUGGCCAUAAUAACACUGCCAGUAAGGGCUAUACUUUUGAACAUCGGCUUUUAACUAGGGACCAUAAGGAGUAGAGUCAGGUUCGGUGAUCAUUUUCUCCUCAAAAGGGAUAGAGGGGCAAGAAUCCGUAUAAUGGCCCAGUCGUCCGCAAGAAUAGUAGUAAUGAGGUAAUCUUUCGUACCGAAAAUCCAGCCACAAAGUUCGAUUUGUAAGUUUAAUGAGUCGACCUACUUUUAAUGGUUCAGAUAAAUCCAACUCAACGCGAGCUCGACAAGCUUUCAGGGUGGAACCAGUGGUGAACUCCGAUUUUACUUGCUGAACAGAGCCUACCGUGCUAACAGCCUUACGGAUCAUUUCAUCAGUACAACAUUCCAAAGGUAACCCAAUCACCUGGACCCAAAAUACACAGGUAGUAAAGUCAUAGCAGUGUAGAGGGGUAUUGGCUACCCAUGGUUUAAAAUUGAUGAGAUGUCCUGAAAAUUGCCAAGGACCGGUGUCGAGAAUUCUCUGUUUGUCAGCCUGGGAUUUAAAUUUGGCUAAAUAAAUUCCAGCUUCUCUCUGAAUGAUUUCAGCUUGGUCCAACCGCCAUGCACACUUCAAGACUGACUGAAAAGCUUGGAAAUUAAAGGAAGGGUUGGAGUGGACUUUACCAAUUAACAGUAGCUUGCAUUCCUCAACUGCACCAGGUGAGGGUUCAACUCGCAAUUCUUCGAUUGCUUUUUCUGUAGAUAAUUGGCCCAGUUUUUGACAACUUGCUGCGAUCCGAGAUGCAUCAGGGUCAUCGUCAAUAGCCAUUGAUGAAAGAAAUGGUCGACUUAACGGAAGAAGGUCGGAAUCAUCAGAAUUAUCGACAUGCAUAUGGAGAAAGAAGGAAACUAAAGGGAAAGCAGAAAGCCUCUGUUGGGGGAAAAGAAGAUAAUGUGAGGAGGGGUUACCGAUCUAGAUCAGUGAAGAGGGGAGGAGGACGAAAUUUCGAAGGAUUGCCAUUUGCAUGUCCAGAAAAGCGGUCGAAGAAUUCAGAGGGGAAGGGAGCAACGAAGAAACUCUACCCAGACGAUAGAGAGUAACUCGACAAGACGAGAAGAAGCGUUUGUCUGAUGGCACUUUAAAUAGCACAUUUAUCACAUCAGAGCUGGCGAAGAAUCCCAUUUGUUUACAUAGACUAAAUUUAUGCCACUGUCAUGACAAUUUCCGUGUUUUUGCAUAUCGAAUUUUACUAGUCAUUGUUGAGAGCAGCAUAUGCAUGUACGCUUGGCGCAAUCAAAGUUUUCAGACAUACACAACAUGAGCAAUGUAAACUGAAGGUGACCAUGCACUUAAGAGGAUUCAAAAUUUAUAGAAAGAUUAUUACGUGAUUUAACGAAUUGAAUCCAUCUUAAUCAUUAUUUGUGUGGAAAAUUAAGAUAAUAACAGUUUGUAUAAUUUACGGAUCACCCAGGAACUUGUCGAAAUUUAUUCAAUUUAUUAUUAUUAUGAUUAUUAUUAUUAUUAUUAUUAUUAUUAUUAUUAUUAUUAUUAUUAUUAUUAUUAUUAUUAUUAUUAUUAUUAUUAUUAUUAUUAUUAUUAUUAUAGUGUCGGUAAACGUUUUCCUCCCAUGUUCCAAAAUUCGGUCCACGGAGAAAAGCAGUGCGAAGCCAAUUUGAGCAAAAGGGGACCGCAGAAUGUACGCUUCACUUUUUUAUUCAGGAGUUCCCACUUUUUUUAAGGGUAAAAGUAGAGCAAAAGUACUCUUGACUUUUCUUCCAGUUUAAACAAUUGUCGUGGAUCUCGAAUUCUCUUUUGGAUUUGAUUAUUUGACAUCGCUCCUCAAGUCAAGGAUCUAACAUGAAUCUGUCUCGUUUAUUGGAAAAGUACCAAGAGAGUCCUAAUCUUAUUAUAUUAAUAAUAAUUUAAUUCUAAAUAUUUUAAUAUUUUUAUCAAUUAAGUCAAUCUAAUCAAUUUAAAUUGAAAAUUGCUGAUAUUGAUGUUGGUCAACUUACGUGAUAAAUUACUGGGAUUCGCCCCAGUGGCCACCCUUCCAACAUGGAAGGAGGAGAUGAGGGGUUCAAAUUCCCACCUUCUCGGGGGGAUGGGGUGGGGACACGUAAGUUUCAGGAGUGGGUUUCAACUCCCACACUCUGCAAGAGGCAGGGCAAAAGUUUGAGAGUGAGUGUAGAGUAGGAAUAGUGUAAGACUGACCAAAAAAAAAACUUACGUGAUACGAUUGAGCUAAUGAGAAAAAAAAUUUAUUAUAAUUUUUCAUUUCUUUUUAUUCUACAACUAUUGUCGAUGGUCGACACGGUGUCAUGCUCGAAAAUGACUAGCCUUGCCUAAGCAAGUAUUACCCUCGUUGCCAUAGGUAAGGGUUAGCCUUGUUGGAGCAAGUGUUGGUGAGGUCUCUUUCGCCAGAUCUAACAAGCUCGCUUGAGCUAGGGUGUCAUUUAGGCGAGUCCUGGGAGGGCCACCCCUGCUCAAGCAUAUUAGCAGCCAAGCCUAUUGUCAGGUCAAUCAAUUCUCUCUUCAGUAGAUCAAACCGGUUCACUAUUCUGCCGGAUCGGUUUCUUCAAUUAUUUUCUGAUCGGUUCUUGGAGAUUUUGGACCGGUUCGGUGGUAUUUUGGCGUGUCGAGUCUGUUUCUGACCUUAGUUCGUCCAUAUCUAUCCUCAAUGGUACCGAUAACACGGAGUUCAAUGAAGUAAGAGAACAAUCCAUUGUAAUGUUCAGUUUGAAGAAUGGGUCUAAGAGUAUUUUACCAAUUUUUGGAUCUCUUGAGGGUGUCGGUCAUGUGUACUUGUGGGGUUUGGGCCAACACCAUUAAAGUAAUGCUUGGUCAUCACGAUGGUUAUUCUCCUUUCGAUUGCAAAGCGACAAGAAAGCUAUCUUUUAAAUCAAAGAAAUUGCAGUCACAUGCGCUACUUAAUUCAUUUGGUUAUCCCACACCAAAUACGAUGUCCUCUUUAUGUGACACGCAAGCAUAUUGUCUUUAGUUUUCUUCCUAUAAAAAAUUGGCUUUCUCUAUGAUCCUAGUAUACCUAUUGAAGAUUGCUUCCACUAUCAUUUGAAGGCAUCGUCCUUUCAUCGAAGGAGAAAAUAUUAAGUGGUUAAAGACUGUCACAUCAUCUGCUGGUCAUCUAUUGACCUUGUGUGUUUUCACUUUGUAUCACUCAUAAUUUGACACAUGCUCAUGUUGCUACUUUAGUAGUUGACAUAGAAAUAAAUAAAAAUUUUAACUUUUUCCCCCUCUUUCCUUCUCCUCUAUCCAACCACCUCUUGAAGGAUGAGCGAUGUUGAAGACAUAAGCUUUUAUGCUUUGUUGGUGUUGCCUAUGAAGCACGAACAUGUUGCUGGAGGUUUCAUGUCGUGUUUGACAUAUGUUGAUGUGUUGGACACGCUCGCACACGCAGUUAACACAUGUCGAAUUUUCCGACACAUGGUCAACUCUUCUCAACACAUUUCGACACGCAUGUCCGAGAGAGAGAAUCGUUGAAGAAGACCAUGGAUGGUGGAGGUGAGGGCGAGGGAGUGGAGGCAAGACUACAACGACGAGGGAGGGCCAGAGGAAGAGCAGAUACAGAGGCGACCUAGAGGACUGCAACUACGAUGCUGCAAUGGAGGGCCGGCGGCAAGGUUGCAGCUAUGAAGGAAGAAGGGCCAGAGGGCUAAAGGCGAGGCAACGAGCGAUCAUGAUGAGACAACCAAGAGAGAGCAAAGAUCAAGAGGAAGAGGGCCGUGCGAGGAGGAGGAUGAGAAGGAGGCAGCGACUAGGGUUUGUGAGUGAGGAAACUCAAAAAAUUAAAAAUGGGAUUUUAAUGGGAUUUUGACGUGAUUUUUUCUAUCUAGAGGGAGGGAGGGGGGGGGGGGNNNNNNNNNNNNNNNNNNNNNNNNNNNNNNNNNNNNNNNNNNNNNNNNNNNNNNNNNNNNNNNNNNNNNNNNNNNNNNNNNNNNNNNNNNNNNNNNNNNNNNNNNNNNNNNNNNNNNNNNNNNNNNNNNNNNNNNNNNNNNNNNNNNNNNNNNNNNNNNNNNNNNNNNNNNNNNNNNNNNNNNNNNNNNNNNNNNNNNNNNNNNNNNNNNNNNNNNNNNNNNNNNNNNNNNNNNNNNNNNNNNNNNNNNNNNNNNNNNNNNNNNNNNNNNNNNNNNNNNNNNNNNNNNNNNNNNNNNNNNNNNNNNNNNNNNNNNNNNNNNNNNNNNNNNNNNNNNNNNNNNNNNNNNNNNNNNNNNNNNNNNNNNNNNNNNNNNNNNNNNNNNNNNNNNNNNNNNNNNNNNNNNNNNNNNNNNNNNNNNNNNNNNNNNNNNNNNNNNNNNNNNNNNNNNNNNNNNNNNNNNNNNNNNNNNNNNNNNNNNNNNNNNNNNNNNNNNNNNNNNNNNNNNNNNNNNNNNNNNNNNNNNNNNNNNNNNNNNNNNNNNNNNNNNNNNNNNNNNNNNNNNNNNNNNNNNNNNNNNNNNNNNNNNNNNNNNNNNNNNNNNNNNNNNNNNNNNNNNNNNNNNNNNNNNNNNNNNNNNNNNNNNNNNNNNNNNNNNNNNNNNNNNNNNNNNNNNNNNNNNNNNNNNNNNNNNNNNNNNNNNNNNNNNNNNNNNNNNNNNNNNNNNNNNNNNNNNNNNNNNNNNNNNNNNNNNNNNNNNNNNNNNNNNNNNNNNNNNNGGUAUGCAGCUUCUGCUCUCAAGUGAUUGCUCGAUGGUAGGCAGGAUGCUGGUAGAUCGUUUGCCGUGACAGCAAACCAGAGCGAAAAUUACCGGAUGGUAGGAAAUUCAAAAUUGACCAGUUCAGUGUCAUAUGAUGUUAAUAGUGAUCUCGACAGCACGAAGUUAACAUGACAAGUCAUUUCAGUCCAGACGUUAUAUGGAGCCAGAUCGUAAGAGUAACAGUCUCGCUUGCCGAGAGGGGGUGAAGGUGAACCCUGGGGAACUUUUUUUUUUUUUUUUGGUAAAGACCCUGGGGAACUUUAUUAUUAUCGGAAAAAUAAAUAAGGGAGGCUAUAAAACGAUUUCGAAAAAUAAGUACCGAAUGUUGAAUAAUGAUAAAUUUUGAUCAUUGUAGAAAAUCAUAGAUUUAUUUAAAUAAGUUAAUUAUAAUUUCUUGUUAGUAAUUAGUUUCAUCAAUAAUUUUUGUUAGAGUUAAAAAUAUAUCCCCAAACAUAACUACACAUUAAUAAUUAAUAUCUUUCGAAUUUCUUAUAAAUAGAUUUAUUAAUAUUAUUAGUGUAAAUUCAUUGUAGGCUCUUUUUUAUUAUUUGUUUGAUUGUGAAUUUGAAUCAAAUUAAUUUAAAAUAAAAAUAUUCAUUUUUAAGAAAUGACGUGUUGGCUUGUUGUGUAAUGUCAUGUCUCGUGUUGAUGCUACCUAGAGUGUUGCAGAACCUUCCGUCACCGUUGCCACUAGUGGAGUCGUCGAGGCCGUGUCCAAGCCAAGCCACCCUGUGAGCCAUGGAAAGUUGCGGCCAUGGAUGAUGGAGGAGGAAGACUAAAAACUUAAAGACUGGAAGCCUAUGGCCAUGUCUUCUAAGGCCCCCAAAACCUUUAGCAGACGACAAGUCAAGAGACCCACUUUGCUCAAGGCCCAAAAAUAGGGGCAAAGAACCCAUCUAAGCCAUGGAUGAUGGAGGACCCUUUCCGACGUCGUUGGCUGUCGGCCUAAGCUACCUCUGGCUCUUUUUUUUUUUUGGUAAUUCUCCAAUCACCUCCAAAUUUGGAAUCGCGUUAGAGUAUUGUGUUGCUCGCCCAUGGCCAUCGUCGCUUUGUCGACGUCACUCUUUAGAUCUCAUGAUCUGGUCUUCCAUGGCGGAAAGCAUUUAGGUGUCACGCCUCUCGUCCAUAUUCAUCAUCGGCAUCAAGCAAUGCCGGAAGGGGCAGCUUGGCUUAGAUGCACAGGAGCGGUUCUGGCAACUCUGUUGGUUGCCACCGCAAGGGGGAGGUGUUGCAACUCGAUCAAAGUUCUUCCAUGGUUUAGGCUGAAUAGAUCUCUUUGGCAAUUUUUAAAUUUUUAUUUAAUUUGAUGUCAGUGGACAUCUAUGAAAUAAUGAGUGGCUGGGACUAAAACAUGUAUGCCAGAUCAGCAGAUGACAUGGUAAUCUCUAACCAUUGAAUAUUUCUCCCAUCAAGCAAAUAAUUAAGGAGCAAAAAUUUAUGUUAAGGAUUUAAUUAAAAAAAGUAAUAUAAAAUGGAACAAUUUAUGACAUACUGAGUACUUUUAUUAAUUUAGUUAUAAACUUUUCAAUUAUGCCAAUUUAAUCUUAAUAUUUUGAUGAUUUACUAAUUAGUUCUAAAUCUUUUGACGAUUUAAUAAUUUUGUUAUUCUAACUAAUUUUGGUUGAGAGUCGUGGACAUUGCAGUCUAGUCAACAUUGAUGGUCUUAUGUUGUAUGACAGUGCUUACAUAGACAAUUUUUGCAAUUUUUUUUUAAUUUUUUUUAAUUUUUUCUCCUUUUUUUCCCUUUCCUUUUGGUUUCAUUUUCCCUUUUUCCCUUUGACGACCAUCGCUGGACCUCAUUCAUGCUCAGCGGAGGUCGUCGGCUACUAGCGAGGGCCACCCUUGUUGGGUCAAAUAAGGGCCCCCCUCCUUGGCCUUGGGUGAGGGUGGCUAUUGCCUAAGGUUGGCGACCUUUGCUGGCAAUCGAUGAGGCCUGACAUGACAAUGGUUGAUGGAGAGAAAAGGCCAAAAAAGAAUAGAAAGAAAAAAAGAUAUAGAAAAACAACAGAAAAGCAAAAGAAAAAAUCUAAACAAUUAAAAAAUUAUUGCAAAAAUUGUCAAUUUCAACAAUAAUCGUGCCACAUAGAAAGGCUAGUUUUGACUAGACCACAACGUUGGUGAUAUUUGGCCACAAUUUGUUGGAAGAACUUAAUUGGCAAAUUUGUAAAAGGUUGACUAAAUUGACAAAGUUGGAAAAUGUUUAAGAAUAAUUUGGUAAAUUUGUCAAAAGAUUUAUGAUUAGAUUGGCAAAAUUAAAAGUUAAAAAAAAAAAAAAUUGUCAGUCCUACUCUAUUCCUACGCUACACUCACUCUCAGACUUUUGCCUUGCCUUUUGUAGAGUGUAGGAGUUGAAACCCACUUCUGAAACUUACACGUCCCCACCCCAUCCCCCUGAGAAGGUGGGGAUUUGAACCCCUCACCUCCCCCUUUCAUGUUAGAAGGGUGGCCAUUCGGGCGAAUCCCAGUGGUUAAAAAAAAAGUUUUAAGAUUGAAUUGGUAUAAAUGUAAUAGAUUUAGAAUUCUUUUGAUAAUUUUUUAUAUUGAAAUAAAUGUAAUAGAUUUAGAUUGGCUGAAGCUCUCUUUGCCCUCUCGGUCUGGAGCGACGCGAAGUUGACCAUGAAGUCGUGUGGGUCAGUAGUUCGGAUGAAGCUUGGCAAGUCUCGCAAGCUGAUGCUCCCCAUCCCCGGUAUCUAGUCAAUGAUGGUGUCUAAGUACCCGUUUGUCAAGUAGCUUGCAUCUGCAAAUCGACAGUCGAUCAAUUAAACAAUAUCACGCAAAAGAGAGGAAAAGAAAUCAUUAGCUGUAAAUCUGCUAAGUGAGAUUAACGAUUGUUCAUUAAUGCAUAUACCUGUGGAGAAAGACCCUUGUCGAUAAGACUGCGAUACUGCACGUAGCCCAUGAAGCCGCAUGCGCUCGUCGUCCAGAACAAGACCAGUGGCACGCCGGCUGCCUCCGCAGCGUCGAGCGUGAAGCUCAUCACGCCGUCCGACACCACGCAGCUCACCAGCGGGGAGCCCGACGUGGCGCUCUCCUCGUCGAGCGUCUGGAGGAGGUCCCGGAAGUAGGGCAGGCAGAGGUCCCGCGAGGACCGGCAGAGGGUGGGGACGUCCUGGGUGGCGUCGGCGUUAGAGGGGGGGAGGCCGUCUGGGAUGGUGCGGAACCGGAAGGACGGGAGGCCGUCGAGGGCGGAGGGGCCGCGGGAACGCAGGAGGCGCUUAUGGUUGUACUCGGUGUUGACGAAGGUGAUGUGGAAGCCCCUGUGGUGGAGAAGCUUGGCGAGGCAGAGCAUGGGCUUGAUGUGGCCCUGGGCUGGGAAGGGGAUGCACACUACAUGCGGCUUUUGAGUCAUCUCGUUCGAACUCAUCUCUCUCUCUCUCUCUCUCUCUCUCUCUCUCUCUCUCCUGUAUGUGUAGGGGCACUUGAGGUUUGGUCUACUUAUAGGCCGGCGACACGAUGAAAUCCGGUCAAGUGGGGGACCGGGGGAGGGAGUAACAUGAUGGGCAUUAAAAUAUUUAAAUAAUAAAUCACGUUUUCAUCUUAACGAUUUAAAUUUUAAAAUAGGCCGGCGAUACGGUGAAAUCCAGCAAAGUGGGCUAGGUGGGGGUAACGUGAUGGGCAUUAAAAUAUUUAAAUAAUAAAUCACGUUUUCAUUUUAAUGAUUUUAAUUUUUAAAAUAGUUAGUAAUAAUAUUACAAGAUCUCACAAUUAGAAAGAGGAGUGUGACGAAUCUAUUUAUCGGAAGAUCUUGAAAUUCAAAAUGGGAUCCAUACUUGAUUCUUGGCGUGUGUUGGUUGGUUCCACUAUUAAAGGACAACAAAUAAUUUCCUUAUUCUUAGUGGUUCGACUAAUCUAGAAAAAUGAGUCGACAAAGGACUUUUACAAUCAUUAGAAAAUCUGUAGUUAAACCCGGAAAAAUUACACAAUUUUUUUUUUUUUUAUGGAUACAACUCGAUCUCUACUAUUAAAUCUACGUGUGCGACAGUCGGACUCGGGGUCCCCAAUGACCUGAUCUUGGAAGUUGGCAGCUGGAUUUAGAUUCCCGGUGCUUGGACCAUGGCCCCUUGGUAGCCAGACCUAUGACCUUGCGCCUGAACUCAAGUCCUAGGGUUGUAUCUGAGAUUUUUCUUUUUCAUGUAUGUUUCAUAGUUUUCCUAUAAUAACAAUGGAAAAAAAACCAAACACAAAUGAGUCAAAUAAUUUUUCCUGAAAAUAACUUCAACAAAAAAUACUUUUCAUCAAAGUUCAUUUUCUUUGAAAUAAGAGAGGCCAGUGAUUUGGCUAGACGAAAAAUAAAUUUAUAGCAAGAAUAUGUGUGAUAAACACUAAAUAAUGUUCAAAUAAGUAAAAUAUGUUUGAGAAUCGAUUCCAGUCAUUUACAUUGUUUUCUAUGCUAAAUUUACACCACUAUCAUUACCAUUCCCGUGUCCUGCAUAUCGAACUCUACGAGUCAUUUUUGAAAGUAGCAUAUGUGCAUACACAAUAGAAUGUGCGGCACGAGCAAUAUAAAACCUAAGGUCAACCAUACACUUAAAAGGAUUUAAAAUUUAGGGAAAAAAGUGUUCCGUGAUUUGUCCAUAAUUUACGGAUCAUGCAAUAAAAUUUACGCUUAUGCAUCUACUGGAUCUGUCAAAACAGACAGUGAUUUUUUAAAGACUGUUGCUGAACGUUUUCCUCUAAUGUUUAAAAAUUUUGGCCACAGAGAGGAAAAAAAGACAAAUGCAGCGCGAAGUCAAAUUUGACAAAUGCAGCGCAAAGCCAAAUUUGAGCAAGGCGUCCACAAAAUGCUCGCUGCAAAGUAGUGCAAAAGUCUACCCGACACCACUGCAGUCGUGGAUCUCAAUUUCUCUUUUGGAUCCGAGGAUUGGAGAUGGCUCCUCGACUGUCAGAAACCCUAGUUCAAAAACUCAUGCGGAAUCAAGGGUCUGUUUGACAAAACUAAACUAUCUAAGAUUCCAUUGCACCAUGUCGAGAUUUGAAUUCCGCUAUCAGUAAUCCCUUUUUGAUUGGCAACUUUCUAGACUUGUGGUAACCUCCCCUCCUCUUAACUUUCUUAUUAUAAUUUAGUUACUGAAAAUUUGAUUUGAUAACAUAAAGAAUACCGAGCAUUGAUUCUAUUUGAUAAUAUAGUUUUUUUUCUUACCAAAUCUGAAUGUAUGAAGAUUAUUUGAAGGUUUAAUCCUUUCUUAGUAAUACAAUAGGCAAGACAAGUUUUUUUUUUUUUUUUCUUUUUGGUAGAAGUAGUUUAUAUGGGAUGAAUUAAGUAGCCAUUUUCUUUUAUUCCUAUCACGUAAGCUAGCAAUACUUGACUGAAUAUUUUAAGUCUAAACAAAUUAUGCUUAUAAACCGUGCUUUUUUUUUUCUUUUUCUUUUUUGUAAUAAUCCGAGAAACCAAAUGCACUUGUAUAAAGAUAAAGCUAUCCGAAUGCUCGCCAAACACUUUGAAUGGCCCAUGAACCGGUUCAAUAUAAGCAUUUAGCCUAUAUGAUGAGUGUUGUAACUCAAAAGGAUUUACAUGUAAUUAUUGGGGUUUUCCCUUUGGCUUCUGUGCUACAAAUUCUCAUAAUAGUUAAUGAGCCAUUUUGAAUUUACUGGUCUAGUUAGGUAAAGGUAUAUGCAAAUUAAACAAUUAAUUUUAAUUGACAAGUUUCGAAUCCUAGGUGAGCCAAAACAAACUUUCACAAGAAGAAUGCAAAUGACUAACUAGAUUGAAAUUUGAUCGUUUCGAUCGUUUUCAAAUUCUAGGUCAGUCAAAAUAAACUUCUCUUCUCUCUCUCUCUUCUCUGUGCUUUGAUCGUUCACUUGUUCCUCCUUUUGGGGUAUGAAAGAAGAGACGGGGGAAAUGGUUAUGGUGCUGGAGGAAGGCAAGUGAGGUUUGGUCUAUUUAUGGGCGGGCGAGACGAGAUCCAAUGAACUUUGGGCUUCAAUAUUUUCUUAUUAGGGUAAAAAUGGCAACCCCAGAUUUAUUGGAAGAUCUUGAAAUCCGAAACGACUUUGAUAUCCACUGUUGCAAGACUGUUAUCAUUGAUUGGACCUGAGUGCUUGACAGUCGGACCCGAGGUCCCCGAUGGCCAGACCUUGUAAGCUGGGCAGCUCGAUUUAGAUCCCCGAUGCUUGGACCUUGGCCCCUUGGUAGCUAGACUCGUGACCUUGCGUCUGAACUCGAGUCUUAGGGUUCUAUUCGAAAACUUUUUUAUUUUUCGUAUUCCCGUUUCAUAGUUUUCCUAUAAUGAUAAUGAUGAGAAAAGGCCAACCAACCACAAGUAAAUUAAAUCAUUUUCCUAGAAAUAACGUAGUUAAAAAGUGUCAUCCAACAAAAUUCAUUUUUCUUAAAACUAACGAGGCUGGUAAUUUGGCAAGAAGAAAAAUAUAUUUAUAGUAAGGGUAUGUGUGACAAAUGUCAAAUGAUAUAUAAAUAAACAAAAUAAGUUCUAGAACUGAUCCCAUUUGUUUACGUUUAUCUCGUAGACUUAAUUUACGCCACAGUCAUCACAAUUUCCGUGUUUUUGCUUAUCGAAUUUUACUAGUCAUUAUUGAGAGCAGCAUAUUCAUGUACCCUUGGCGCAAGCAAAGCUUUUAGAAAUACAUAACAUGAGCAAUCUAAACCAAAUGUUGACCAUGCACUUAAGAGGAUUCAAAAUUUAUGGAAGGAUUAUUACGUGAUAUAACGAAUUGAAUCCAUCUUAAUUAUUAUUCGUGUGGAAAAUUAAGAUAAUAACGGUUUGUAUAAUUUAUGGAUCAUGCCGUAACUUUUCGAAAUUUAUUCAAUUUAUUAUUAUUAUUAUUAUUAUUAUUAUUAUAGCGUCGGUAAACGUUUUUCUCUCAUGUUCCAAAAUUUGGUCCACGGAGAAAAGCAGUGCGAAGCCAAUUUGAGCAAAAGUGGAUCGCAGAAUGUACGCUUCACUUUUUUAUUCAAGUGUUCCCACUUUUUUUUAAGGGUAAAAGCAUAGCAAAAGUACUCUUGACUUUUUUUCCAGUUUAAACAAUUGAGAAAAUGUCACAAAUAAUCUCUAGACUUCUAUUUAAUGUGCAAUCUCGUUCAUAAACUUUCGAUUGACUCAAUUUGGCUCCUGAACUAUCGAUGAAUGUCCGAUCUAGUCCUUAACUAUUCAAAAAUUGACCAAUUUCGUCAUUUCGUUAGUUAAAAUUAACGGAAUUGGGUAUUUUGAUCUUUUUCUUUUUUCUUUCUUCUUCUUCUCUCUCCCUCGCUUGACGCCAGCGAGGGCAGCCCUAGCUAGCGCAAGCGAGGGUGAUCCUCGCCAGACGUCGACUUCCCUCUGCCAUGGCUGGCGGAGAGAAGAGAGAAGAAGAAGAAAAAACAGUUAAUUUUUAACAGAAUGAUUAGAUCGGACGAUUAUUGAUAGUUUAAUGACCAAAUUGAGCCAAUCGAAAGUUCAUGGAUGGGAUUGCACAUUAAAUAAAAGUCUAUGGACCAUUUAUGAUAUUUUCCUUAAACAAUUUGUCGUGGAUCUCGAAUUCUCUUUAGGAUUUGAUUAUUUGACAUCGCUCCUUGAGUAAAGGAUCUAACAAGAAUAUGCUUCGUUUAUAACCACUGUAUUAUGGUUACUAUAGUCGGUAGCUUAUCUCUACAGAAAAGCCAGACGGAAAACUUUCCAGCUGAAAAACUUUUCUUCUAUAGCGAAUGCCUUAGUUAUUCUUUUUCCUUUUUCUCUAACCACUUCCUGAUCCCGCACGAUUUCUUUUGUACGGCAAUAAAUAUGUAUGCAAUCCCCUAUGCGGUCAAACUGGAUUUUACUCGCCCCGCGGUCAACCUUGAAUAUUUAUCUCCGAGUCUAAACAAACCACGGCCUUUGAGUAUCUUGUUGACCGAAUCUUGGAUCUUGUGAUUAUCCAAGAGGAAAACAAACUAUAAUAGAACAAAGUCCAAGCCUGCCUUUGAUGAAAGUCUGUCCAAUUGUUCUUAUGAUAUGGACCGGUUAACAUUUUUCGAUUGGAUCACAUUUCGUACGUAAAUUCAAAUUUGAGAUAUAUUUUAACAUGUUUUGAAGAAAAUGAUUAAUACGAAAAAUAUUAUGAUAUGGACCGGUUAACAUUUUUCGGUUGGAUCACAUUUCGUACGUAAAUUCAAAUUUGAGAUAUAUUUUAACAUGUUUUGAAGAAAAUGAUUAAUACGAAAAAUAUUUUUCUAAAAAUGAUGAUAUGCAUUGCUUACAUAAUUGAAUAAUUAAUUAUUCCAAAUCACAAGUAAUCAUUUUUCGAAAAAUACUUUUUUCGAAUUCUUAAUUUAUUUUUAGGGAAACAAGAGGAGCGUUAAUAUCUCCUGGGUAGCCGCAGCACGCUAUUGAUCAGCUCGUCCAAGUUCAAGAACGACGGCCCGGAAGGACACGCGGCCUCCCGGGCCAUCUCCUUCCACUCCAUCGCUUUCCUCUUCAUCUCCUUCCCUUUCUCCCCCUCCAUCAGCUCCCUCACCUGCCUCUCCACCUCGUCCCUCUUCACGUCGCUGUCGAUCUCCAUCCCGAUCCCCCACUCCUCGCGGCUGUACCGACAGUUCGUCGGUUGCUCCGCGAAGAACGGCCAGCACACCACCGGCACGCCCGCCACGAUGCUCUCGAUCGUGGAGUUCCAUCCGCUGUGGGUCAAGAACCCGCCGACCGCCUGGUGGCCCAGCACCCGCUCCUGGGGGCACCAGCUGGCCAGCAGGCUCCGCUCCCCUGUCGCGGCCGAGAACUCCGGUGGCAAGACCGCCGUGUCGCCGGCGACCAGGUCGGGCCUGAUGAUCCAUAGGAACGUCUGACCGCUGUUCGCGAGUCCCCAUGCGAACUCCACCAGCUGCGCUGGGGACAUCACCGUGAUGCUCCCGAAGUUCACGUACACGACCGAGCCGGGCGGUUUCGAGUCGAGCCACUUGAGACAGCCCGGCUCUUCCUUCCACAAGUUGGAUCCGAUCGAUCCGGUGCCGUCAUCAGGCAGUUGCGCCGUGAGGAGAUGGAGGGGGCCGAGGGUGUAGAUGGGGGGGGAACAUGGCCUUGAGAGCAUCGACGACCUCGUGCUCCAGGCGGUCGAACGUGUUGAGGACAAUGGCUGAAGCUCUCUUCGCCCUCUCGGUCUCGACCGACAGGAAGUCGACCAUGAAGUCAUCUGGGUCGGUAGUUCGGGAUGAAGCUCGGCAAGUCUCGCAGGCUGAUGCUCCUCAUCCCGGGUAUCCAGUCGAUGAUGGUGUCUAAGUACCCGUUUGUCAAGUAGCUUGCAUCUGCAAUCGACAGUUGAUCCAUUAAACAAUAUGACGCUAAAGAGAGGAAAAGAAUCGAUAGCUGUAAAUCUGCAAGUGAGAUAGACGAUUGUUCAUUAAUGCAUAUACCUCUGAGUGGAGAAAGACCCUUGUCGACAAGACUGCGAUACUGCACGUAGCCCAUGAAGCCGCACGCGCUCGUCGUCCAGAACAAGACCAGUGGCACGCCGGCUGCCUCGGCAGCGUCGAGCGUGAAGCUCAUCACGCCGUCCGACACCACGCAGCUCACCGGCGGGGAGCCCGACGUGGCGCUCUCCUCGUCGAGCGUCUGGAGGAGGUCCCGGAAGUAGGGCAGGCAGAGGUCCCUCGAGGACCGGCAGAGGGUGGGGAUGUCCUGGGUGACGUCGGCGUCAGGGGGGGGGAGGCCGUCUGGGAUGGUGCGGAACCGGAAGGACGGGAGGCCGUCGAGGGCGGAGGGGCCGCGGGAACGCAGGAGGCGCUUGUGGUUGUACUCGGUGUUGACGAAGGUGAUGUGGAAGCCCCUGUGGUGGAGAAGCUUGGCGAGGCUGAGCAUGGGCUUGAUGUGGCCCUGGGCUGGGAAGGGCAUGCACACUGCAUGCGGCUUUUGAGUCUGGGAAGGGCAUGCACACUGCAUGCGGCUUUUGAGUCAUCUCGUUCGAGCUCAUCUCUCUCUCUCUC